AUAUAUGAAAAAGAAAAAGAUGAAUAAAAUAUAAGAGAGGAAAAAAUGAAGAAGAAAAUAGAUUAAAAAAAAUGAUAAAGGAAAUAGAUGAGAAAGAAAAAUGAUGAAGAAAAUAUGUUAGAAAAGAAAAGAAUGAGUAAAAUGAAUGAGAAUGAAAAAUAUGAAGAAAUUGAAAGAAGAGAAGAAAGAGAAAAAAUAAGUAAUAGUUUAUAUAAGGGAAUUAGUAACCGAUUAACGGUUGCUAAUUUCUUUUAAAAAU
Molecule: unclassified non-coding RNA, 259 nt
Filed under: Hevea brasiliensis (rubber tree)
Lineage: Eukaryota; Viridiplantae; Streptophyta; Magnoliopsida; Malpighiales; Euphorbiaceae
Source: RNAcentral